UCUAAGGCUUGGGAGUCUAAAUCUCAGUAACUUCCAGUCUCAGAUGUCGGACAUCUCAGACAGACGAGACUUCAGGCCUUGGCAUGCUUUCAGGAAGUCACCAACAGAUAUUGCCAAGAAAAGAAAUCUACAUUGUGCCGAAUGUUUAUCAUCAAUGCUGGCCCUGGUUUUAGGUUGCUGUGGAGGACAGUGUAGUCUUUUAUCGAUAGAAAAACCACUUCAAAGAUUCAUG
This is a long non-coding RNA of Magnolia sinica, 232 nucleotides long. RefSeq lists it as uncharacterized. The transcript has 3 exons. Lineage: Eukaryota; Viridiplantae; Streptophyta; Magnoliopsida; Magnoliales; Magnoliaceae. The record is from RefSeq and is a predicted model, not a curated record.